This 233-nucleotide unclassified non-coding RNA is filed under the name Hevea brasiliensis (rubber tree). The record is from RNAcentral. Lineage: Eukaryota; Viridiplantae; Streptophyta; Magnoliopsida; Malpighiales; Euphorbiaceae.
GGUGACAGGUUAUAUCUUUAAUGGUUAUGCAAAUAAAGCAAUAUGUUGGUGUGGCAUCAAGACUUGUGUGCAUGUCAUCUUCUUAUUGGCUUAGUUCAGGGAUGAUUGGUAGGCUGUGUCAAUUAAUCAUUCAAUUUCUAAAAAAAAAAAAUCAGUUGAAAUUUUCUUUCUUUGGAAACAAUGAUAAGAUUCAGAAGUUUGUUUUCUUCUUUCAUUUUCCUUGAAAAUUGAUU